Molecule: long non-coding RNA, 93 nt
Organism: Corapipo altera (White-ruffed manakin)
Lineage: Eukaryota; Metazoa; Chordata; Aves; Passeriformes; Pipridae
Exons: 3
Source: RefSeq, a predicted model, not a curated record
UGUGUCAAGGCAGAUCUUCUCCAGUAGCUGCUUCAGUGCAUGCCCUGUAGUAAUUUUCACAUUAUUUCGGGCACAUAUCUGAACUCCAGUCAC